UCUACAAACUCCUCUGUGUAGUUCACAAGCGCCUCCCGCACAACUUCGUACCCGGUCAGGACCACAACUUUCUGGAAGCCAAAAUGGAGGGUGAAGACCGGGCCGUAUUCUUCCGCAAGCUGAAAGAGAGGGCACAGCACAGACCAGGUGAGGCAUGGGGUUCAGGGUGAAGCCGACGUCAGCAGUGAGAUCCAGCUCUGCUUUGUUCACCCCUGGAGGGGGCUGGAAAACAAAUUUGCGGAGCAAGCCUGCGAAGAAGAGGAACAGCUCCAUUUUGGCCAGGCCUUCUCCAACACAAGCCCUUCGUCCUGAAAACAAGCAGGAGAGAAGUAAAUGUUAAGCAGUGGAACUGUUGGUGAUGGCAUCUGAGACCUUCUAAACUGGACACGCAGUCUGUGCAGCUGAGAUUCAGACAGAUCUUUGGAGAAGUCUACUGAAGUAUAGAUUUCACUUUGGGCAUAAUAGAAUCAAACCAAUGUGACUUCAUUAAAGUCUGGUUAUUCUGGAUUCAAGUGGCUGCAACAUUCUACAAUCACCACAUGUUUUUAACAAUUGUUCUGCAUCCAAGUCAAAGAAUUACACGGUGGAUUAAACCGAGCAUCAAGGCGUCUCUAGAUAUGUAGAUAUUUCUUAUCAGCUUUAGAUAACACGGUAAUGAAUUGGUGCAGUGUAAGCUGCUGGUCCCAGAGCUCACCUUAGGAAUCACAUAACC
Long non-coding RNA from Tympanuchus pallidicinctus (lesser prairie-chicken), 712 nucleotides. RefSeq lists it as uncharacterized. The record is from RefSeq and is a predicted model, not a curated record. The transcript is spliced from 3 exons. NCBI's taxonomy places the organism in Eukaryota, Metazoa, Chordata, Aves, Galliformes, Phasianidae.